GGUGAAAUGGGUGAAUAUCAGACAGCUUAUUACAGAGACAAGCAUGCUGCACUCCCAAACUAGGAUGACAGAACAAGUCAUGAUCUUGUAUAGAAGGAAAAUGAGAUCCCUGGUGAAGCCUACAGUGUCAUUGACUCUGAAGAAGGACUCAGAGACCCAUUGGUGUUUAAUGACCCUUAUUGGCCUCCACAAAAGAAACUGGGCUGCUCGGCAGUGCUGAUGGCAGGAUAUUUCAUGCUUGAUGUGGACGGAAGACUGAUUGUGCAAUAUCCGUGACAGUUACUAACAAGGUGAAAGCUGACUGUAUACACUAGCAGUGCUGGUGGUGUGUGAACACUGAUGGAAAUCUGUCUUUCUACUCCACUUAUGAGCUAGGAAUGAGAGAGGGAUGCCCAGCAGAGGCUAGGAGUUGCUGCUCCCAAGACUAAUCCAAAAUUCGAAAUGCUUGUGAGGAAACAUCAGCAUUUUCUCAUAGGGUCAUAGGUCAAGAGCAGGGGUGUGCUCAGAUUCAGUGUAGGACUUCUGAGAACUUUGUCUUCAGAUUUUAUUAAGGUUUCCUUCUUUAUUUGGACUUUAUUGAGAAAACUCUAGUGAAAAUUCUGAAACUGCUGAGGUACAUCUAAACUAAAGAGAAGGGGCCUGUUGAUUAACAGCA
Molecule: long non-coding RNA, 655 nt
Organism: Athene cunicularia (burrowing owl)
Lineage: Eukaryota; Metazoa; Chordata; Aves; Strigiformes; Strigidae
Exons: 3
Source: RefSeq, a predicted model, not a curated record